UACGUAGGGUGCAAGCGUUGUCCGGAAUUAUUGGGCGUAAAGAGCUCGUAGGCGGUUUGUCGCGUCUGCUGUGAAAACCUAAGGCUCAACCUUGGGCUUGCAGUGGGUACGGGCAGACUAGAGUGCGGUAGGGGUGACUGGAAUUCCUGGUGUAGCGGUGAAAUGCGCAGAUAUCGGGAGGAACACCGGUGGCGAAGGCGGUUCUCUGGGCCUGACCUGACGCUGAGGAGCGAAAGCGUGGGGAGCGAACAGG
RNAcentral lists this ribosomal RNA (253 nucleotides) under uncultured bacterium. Its description in RNAcentral is "partial 16S ribosomal RNA". It matches the Rfam family "Bacterial small subunit ribosomal RNA", at positions 524 to 776 of the family's 1533-position model. The record is from RNAcentral.